AAUGUUACUAUAUGAGAGAUUAAAGCAGAAAUGCAGGCCAACAGGAAAAUUCAAUCAAAAAAUUUCAAACACUUACAUGAUCUAAGGAAAAGAUCUCAUCCAAAAGAAGUCUGAAUUUUGCAAGCCUUUUCCUGAACUACAAAUAGAAGACAAUCCUAUUUCUUUCAAAAUGGAGAUGAAACACCCCUCUUGUAUACAUCAGUCCAUAGCUCAAAAUCCUUCAGAGGCAAACAAGAACAGAGGAUCAAGAGAACACCCUGGGUGAAGAGACAAUAAUGGUCUUCAUCAGAGUCUCCAAUAAAGGAAGAAGAAAUUUAGGGUGAGGUCA
This 328-nucleotide long non-coding RNA is filed under the name Monodelphis domestica (gray short-tailed opossum). Its description in RNAcentral is "lncRNA (ENSMODG00000035988.2)". Lineage: Eukaryota; Metazoa; Chordata; Mammalia; Didelphimorphia; Didelphidae. The record is from RNAcentral.